UUGGAGGGCAAGUCUGGUGCCAGCAGCCGCGGUAAUUCCAGCUCCAAUAGCGUAUAUUAAAGUUGUUGUGGUUAAAAAGCUCGUAGUUGAACCUUGGGCCUGGCUGGCCGGUCCGCCUCACCGCGUGCACUGGUCCGGCCGGGCCUUUCCCUCUGCGGAACCCCCAUGCCCUUCACUGGGUGUGGCGGGGAAACAGGACUUUUACUUGAAAAUAAGAGUGCUCAACGGCGAGGCCGUACUGCUCGAAUACGUUAGCAUGGAAUAAUAGAAUAGGACGUGUGG
Molecule: ribosomal RNA, 282 nt
Filed under: uncultured Ascomycota
Lineage: Eukaryota; Fungi; Ascomycota
Description: partial 18S ribosomal RNA
Rfam family: Eukaryotic small subunit ribosomal RNA
Source: RNAcentral